This 387-nucleotide ribosomal RNA is filed under the name uncultured bacterium. RNAcentral's name for it is "bacterial SSU rRNA". It matches the Rfam family "Bacterial small subunit ribosomal RNA", at positions 413 to 796 of the family's 1533-position model. The record is from RNAcentral.
GGCCUUCUGGGUUGUAAACUGCUUUUGUCAGGGGAUAAAAAGCUCGUGCGCGAGAAAUUGAAUGUACCUGGCGAAUAAGCCACGGCUAACUACGUGCCAGCAGCCGCGGUAAUACGUAGGUGGCAAGCGUUGUCCGGAUUUAUUGGGUUUAAAGGGUGCGUAGGCCGGUCCUGUAAGUCAGUGGUGAAAUACGGCAGCUCAACUGUCGAGGUGCCAUUGAUACUGCGGGACUUGAGUGUUGAUGAGGUAGGCGGAAUUGACGGUGUAGCCGGUGAAAUGCUUAGAUAUCGUCAAGAACACCGAUAGCGAAGGCAGCUUACCAAGCAACAACUGACGCUGAGGCACGAAAGUGUGGGGAUCAAACAGGAUUAGAUACCCUGGUAGUCC